This 1463-nucleotide long non-coding RNA is filed under the name Capra hircus (goat). Its description in RNAcentral is "lncRNA (ENSCHIG00010027623.1)". Lineage: Eukaryota; Metazoa; Chordata; Mammalia; Artiodactyla; Bovidae. The record is from RNAcentral.
ACAUCAGCAGCCCAGGACCACUAGGGAACCAAGAAAUAGGGUUCAUUCCUUUGUUGAUUUAAUUUUACAUUUAUUAAGCACUUUCUAUUGGCCCUGGGUCUGAUUGGUUUAUCAAAGGGACAGAAAAUAGAGGAUAAUGUUGGGUAUGUAGACUCCGGAGUCAGGCCUCUUGGUUGAAGUCUGGUUCCAUCAUUUACAUGCUAUUGACCUUGAUAAACUUGCUUUCCUUCUUUGUGCCCCAGUUGUCUUAUUUGUAAGAUGGGGAUAUAAAGAUUAUACCUACUUCCUGAGAUUAUUGUGAAGACUAAGUGUUCUGAUAUAUGCAAAAGCUCUUUCAGCAUCAUCCUAGCACACUGUAAUGCUCCCUAAAUGUUAGUCUGAAUGUUGUGUGGUCCCUCCGAAUUUGUAUGCUGAAAACAUAAUGCCCAAGGGGACGGUGAUGAGAGAUGGGUCCUUUGGGAGGUGAUUAGGUCAUAAGGGCAGAAUGGGAGUAGUGUCCUUGUAAAAGAGCCCCCAGAAAGCUCUCUUUUGCUCCUUCUGCCAUGUGAAGUCGCAGCAAAAGGACAGCCACCUAUAAGGAAGCCUGCCUUCAUGAGACACUGAAUCUGUCAGCACCUCGAUCUGGGACUUCUCAGCCUUCAGAACUAUGAGAAAUAAAUGUUUGUUGGUGUAAGUCACCCAGUUUAUGACAGUUUUGCUAUAGCAACCUAAACGGACUAAGACAGCAUAGAGAAGCAAAACUAUUUCAUUAAUGUGAUGCCUGCAGUGUUGGGGGAAUGACGCCCUGGAUCCCAGGAGAGCACUGAAGAAGGGUCUGGAAGGUCUUGUGGACACGGUGGCGGCUGUACUGAUUCUUGAAGAAUGAUCAGGAAAGUGGACCCUGGAAUGUGGCUAAUCGCUGCUGGAGCCAAGGUUCCUACAAGCAAGAGGCAGGUCAAAUUACUUCAUCAUAAAAGGAGGCAGUUACUAACCGCCAUCCUCUCUCCUUGGAAACCCAGGAACCGCGACUGUGAACGGAAAAUUGUGGGUACUUGAGGCUCCUCUAUGCUGCUGUCACCCUCUCUCCUGGAGUCUUGUGGCCUCUCUCUUAGCAUCUCCCCUUCUCACUCCUGGCUGCCUUCCUUUAGUCGGGAUUCUGCUUCAUCAGAACUCUUUCUGGCCUGUGCAGUCAGAAUGGUUCCUUAGCACCCAAAUCUGCUUCCAGGCUUUCAGUCUCCAUUCUCACUAGCAGGUGCUUCAGUAUUUCAGUUGCUAUUUAAUUUUUUGACUUAUUAUUUUUGGCUGCACUGGGUCUGUGUUGCUAGAGGACUUUCUCUAGUUGCAGUGAGCAGGGCUGCUGUCUGGUUGUGGUGCUUGAAUUUCUCAUUGUGGUAUCUUCUCUUGUUGCAGAGCUUGGGCUUGAGAGCAUGUAUUUGUGGCCCACAGGCCUAGUUACUCUCCAGCAUGUGGAAUCAUCCCAGACC